UAGACUCGUGGACAAAGACAAAGAAAGCCGGGGAAUAGGUGUAGGCGUUGAGGGGGUGUGGGGGAGGGAAGGGUGGUUUGGGUCGCGGUACGGUUACGGCGACGGGCGGCACCCGUGCCCGGGGCGCAGCCGCUAUCGAGGCCAGUGGCGGCGCCGCGGGGAAUCUAUAGCAGGGUAUGCUGAGGCGCGUAGAGGCAGCUGCCAAAGGAGGGGAAGUUGGAGACGCUAGAGGUCGGGCGGCGGGGGCGGCAGACGCUCCGUAAGGGCGUUUGUGGACCGCCCGUCUCCGGUGCGGGGCCGCUCCGGGAGGUUCCUGGCACAGAAGAAGGAGCUGCAGUUGGGCUAUACGAAGGCGCCGAGGGUCGCAUCGGAGCCGCGGAAGCGCGCGACCGAGCGCGAGAAGAAGUGCGUGCAGUCGGAGGCCCUGGGGCAACACCGGCAGAAGCUGCCCCGUCCACCCUUGCUCAUGGCCUCCGCCGACGACGGCAGGAUGUUUCGCGUGGCCUGAGCGCCGCAUCCGUGGCCACGGCUAAGGGCGCACCAACUGCACGAGACGCUCACGUUACAAGGCUAACACGUUCAGCUACCUAUGCUCCGUCUACUACAUCACCGAUGGAACUGUUUCGUUCAUAAUGUCUUUCCAAUAUCUCAACAGUAACGGAGCGGACUGUUCCUGAAGUUCGUCAACUAUAGACUUCUACAAGUCAAUCAAUACGGGUAAGGACUCUAACCGGCUACCAGGAAAAUAUGCGACUCCGUAAUACAACGUGUUAUGUUCACACUAGGUUGACAUCUAAACUCGGAGUCUACGAAAUACCCACUACUUCGUCUACCACAAGGCCCUUAGGUCGUAGACCGAGGACCAAAACCAGCGUUCUGACGCCACUUUGAUGACUUGUUUGUACCAAGUAAUCUUUUGGAUGAAUUAUGUCGACGUCAAUCUUGACAUCCGUUCCUCAUACGGGUCCUACAAAAUCAGUUCGUACGUCUAAUGAACGCUUUUUUGAUACUUUAAGAGUCAAACUCCUCCCUACAUUUACAAGUCGAACUACUGUCUACCAAUAGGUGUUCCCUGUGAACAUUACUGUGGUCACACAAUAGACUGAAGUAGUGAUUUAAGUUGAUUCCUGUCUUCGAUUUAUCGCCCACUACGGCCGAUGUUCUGCGUCUCCGCACCAGGUCCUCGUCACAUCAUGAUGAUGCACGUCGCAGUGUCACUGCCUCGCUGGGUACCAGAGCGGGCUUCUGUCCGUGGCCUGUACGAUAGAGUCGAUAAAACAGUGCGAUCAUAUCGUAUAGAAUUCCCUCGGUUGUGUCUAACGUCUAGACUAGAGUACAUUACGCUAGGAGCCUACGAUAGUGAGCGACGACGAUUAACCUAUGACACGACCAGAGCCAAGCACCCCGCGACCGGUUUAGAUCGCGCCGAAACAACACCGUAACCUACUAUUUAGACACGAGACCAAACAAAAAU
Molecule: ribosomal RNA, 1474 nt
Filed under: Triticum aestivum (bread wheat)
Lineage: Eukaryota; Viridiplantae; Streptophyta; Magnoliopsida; Poales; Poaceae
Description: partial small subunit ribosomal RNA
Source: RNAcentral